RNAcentral lists this transfer RNA (84 nucleotides) under Paenibacillus cellulosilyticus. Its description in RNAcentral is "tRNA-Arg". Lineage: Bacteria; Bacillati; Bacillota; Bacilli; Caryophanales; Paenibacillaceae. The record is from RNAcentral.
GCAGCGACUGGCCGAGAUUCCAGGCGUGCCGCUCCGGUCCGCUCAGUCCGUCGAGGCGCGGACGUUCCACUCGUUCUGCCUGCA